Molecule: ribosomal RNA, 464 nt
Filed under: uncultured bacterium
Lineage: Bacteria
Description: partial 16S ribosomal RNA
Rfam family: Bacterial small subunit ribosomal RNA
Source: RNAcentral
CCUACGGGAGGCAGCAGUAGGGAAUCUUCGACAAUGGGCGCAAGCCUGAACGAGCAAUGCCGCGUGAACGAGGAAGGUCUUCGGAUCGUAAAGGUCUGUUGAAGGGGAAAAAGAUCGGAGAGAGGAAAUGCUCUCUGAUUGAUAUUACCCUUCGAGGAAGUCACGGCUAACUACGUGCCAGCAGCCGCGGUAAUACGUAGGUGGCGAGCGUUAUCCGGAAUGCUUGGGCGUAAAGGGUGCGUAGGCGGCCUGCUAAGUCUGGGGUGAAAGGUACCGGCUCAACCGGUACAGGCACUUGAAACUGGCGGGCUAGAGAGCAGGAGAGGGGGGUGGAACUCCAGGUGUAGCGGUAAAAUGCGUAGAUAUAUGGAAGAACACCAGUGGCGAAGGCGGCCGCCUGGCCUGUUACUGACGCUGAGGUACGAAAGCGUGGGGAGCAAAUAGGAUUAGAUACCCUUGUAGUC